GACGAACGCUGGCGGCGUGCCUAACACAUGCAAGUCGAGCGGGGUUGAAGCGAGGGGUAACUUGAGCUUCUACCUAGCGGCGGACGGGUGAGUAACGCGUGGGCAACCUGCCUCAAGGUCUGGGAUAACAGUUCGAAAGGGCUGCUAAUACCGGAUAUGCCUAUGGCCUCGCAUGGGGCUAUGAGCAAAGGGGAAACCUGCCUUGAGAUGGGCCCGCGUCCCAUCAGCUAGUUGGUGAGGUGAAGGCUCACCAAGGCGACGACGGGUAGCCGGCCUGAGAGGGUGACCGGCCACACUGGGACUGAGACACGGCCCAGACUCCUACGGGGGGCAGCAGUGGGGGAUCUUGCACAAUGGGCGAAAGCCUGAUGCAGCGACGCCGCGUGAGCGAAGAAGGCCUUGGGUUGUAAAGCUCUGUCUGGAGGGACGAAACAAAUGACGGUACCUCCGGAGGAGCCACGGCUAACUACGUG
RNAcentral lists this ribosomal RNA (473 nucleotides) under uncultured bacterium. RNAcentral's name for it is "bacterial SSU rRNA". It matches the Rfam family "Bacterial small subunit ribosomal RNA", at positions 28 to 507 of the family's 1533-position model. The record is from RNAcentral.